Molecule: ribosomal RNA, 253 nt
Filed under: uncultured bacterium
Lineage: Bacteria
Description: partial 16S ribosomal RNA
Rfam family: Bacterial small subunit ribosomal RNA
Source: RNAcentral
UACGAAGGGGGCUAGCGUUGUCCGGAUUUACUGGGCGUAAAGCGCGUGUAGGCGGAUUGAUAAGUUGGGGGUGAAAGCCCAGAGCUCAACUCUGGAACUGCCUUCAAGACUGUCAGUCUGGACUCAAGGAGAGGCGAGUGGAAUUGCGAGUGUAGAGGUGAAAUUCGUAGAUAUUCGCAGGAACACCAGUGGCGAAGGCGACUCGCUGGACUUGUAGUGACGCUGAGACGCGAAAGCGUGGGGAGCAAACAGG